Pelobates cultripes (western spadefoot toad) is the source of this 559-nucleotide non-coding RNA. Lineage: Eukaryota; Metazoa; Chordata; Amphibia; Anura; Pelobatidae. The record is from the annotation of a GenBank genome assembly.
CUGUUGGGGGUGGGGCCCGGUUGCCCUCACUCCCCAGGACGCUGGUUGCUGUAAGGUGGAGGGAUCGACCAUCGGUUGUCUCCUCUCCUGGCAAAGUAUACUGCUGCUGGGGAUCUGGGCCGGCUGCCCAGCAUCCCUGUAGGGCCGGCAGAGAGACCUCGGUCCCAUCUCCGCCUGCCAUGUGUGGGUCUUCCCAGGCCUAUGUCUAUGAGGUCCCUCACCUCUGGCUGCUGUUGGAGAGGGAGGCCGGUUGCCUCCCCUCCCCAGGACGCUGGCUGCUGUACGGUGGAGGGAUCAACCAUCACCUCCUCCUGGAACUCAGGACGCCGCUGGGGAAGGAGACCGGUUGUCUCCUCUCCCUGCAGAGUAUACUGCCGCUGGGGAGCAGGACCGACUGUCCCUACUCCUGGUCGUAUACUUGGUUGCUGUGCUAAGCUGGACAGAUGAUGGUAGCUCUGCUCCAGCUCCCACUCCAUUGUGACCAGAUGAAUCAGGACUGGCCCCAGGUUGUCCACUUGGGGAAGAUCCAGCAGAGUUUCCCUGAUGUCAUGGAUGUCCC